GGUGAAGUAGCUCAGUGGUAGAGCACUUGCCUGGCAUGCGUGGGACCCUGUGUUCAAUCCCCAGCACCA
Molecule: transfer RNA, 69 nt
Filed under: Heterocephalus glaber (naked mole-rat)
Lineage: Eukaryota; Metazoa; Chordata; Mammalia; Rodentia; Bathyergidae
Rfam family: tRNA
About the family: Transfer RNA (tRNA) molecules are approximately 80 nucleotides in length. Their secondary structure includes four short double-helical elements and three loops (D, anti-codon, and T loops).
Source: Rfam by way of RNAcentral